RNAcentral lists this unclassified non-coding RNA (1253 nucleotides) under Hevea brasiliensis (rubber tree). The record is from RNAcentral. Lineage: Eukaryota; Viridiplantae; Streptophyta; Magnoliopsida; Malpighiales; Euphorbiaceae.
AAGAAGAAGAAGAAGAAGAAGAGACAAGUGAGGAAUGGAGGUUUCCGGUGAAUGGAGAAGGGUUUAGGAGGUGUCAUGAGCUGGGGACACAGCAUCAUGAUUAUCACCACGGCCACCAUCAUAAUUUGCAUGUAUGGAGCCAGCACUGCGUGACAACUAGGUGAAGCUAAGUCCUAAGAUGGUCACGUGGGGUGUGAAAAAGAGACGAGAAUUAAAGAGUGUGUGCGUCUGUGUAUCUGCGUGUCCUUAAUUGAGGACGCCUACUGUUGUUCUUUGGUAGACAAUACAAAAUUAAUUUCUCAAGGGAGAGAAGGUUGAUGCGUCUCAACUAAAUUUGGAGGAGUGGAUUGGAUUGGUUCAAUGGGUUCGAAUCGAAUCUUGGGAUCCACAUCAAUUGAAAGAGCCUUGCGGGUAACACACACAGAUUUAUCAGUUAAAAUUUCCAAAUUUAGAAAUUUGAUACACAAUUUUUCUUAUUAUUUUUUAUCUUUGAAAGAAAAAAUUGGCAAAUGCCAAAUGCCAUAUCUAUGAUCAUCACCAUAACCAAAGUCUAGAAAUUUGAUGAGUUUAUGAAUUAUGGUCUCUUCCACCAAAGAACAAAAGAAGUGAUGAUAAUAAUAAUAAUAAAUUAUGUAUUUAUAAUGGAUAUUUUAGCACAAAGGUUAUGGUUUCCUGGUCUAUGUGGCCUGGUUGUAUUGGUUGGUUGAUGUAGCAAAAUUAAUGGUCAAUGGAUACGGAGACUUUGAAAUGUACACCAAUUAUUAAAUUAUUAUAUAUAGUGUUGACAAAUUUUUGUGCCUAAUGAUAUAAUAUGAUCACAUGAUCGACCUGCCUUGCAGAGAUGAUAUCAUAUCAUAUCAGCAGUCAGCUUAAAAAUGCAACAAAUUACUGCGAUCAAAAUAUCAAGUGUUAUAAGUUUUUCUGUUGCGAAGAGUGUGAACAUGAAGAAUACCUCAAGAUUUCAGGGUGUAAACUUCUAAUGGUGGUGAUAUGUUCAAAAGAAGUCUGCUAUAUCAGCUAAUAUUAAAAUUUUGCUGUGAAGGCUUCAGAAAACUAGGGCCCAGUUCAAGUCCGUAGGGGUGAGUAGUAAGGAGUCCAUAUCACACAUAUCAAUAUAAAGAAUUAAUAAGCAUAUCCAAUUGCAGAUUUUAGUCAUUUUGGGUAGCUUUUCUCCUUGUUGGCGUUUUGCUCUAUUCAGUUCCACGACACAUUUGGCAUGAAUGUCUUCCAACUUUAAAGAAAGUUAAUAUCUG